Molecule: unclassified non-coding RNA, 680 nt
Filed under: Aspergillus creber
Lineage: Eukaryota; Fungi; Ascomycota; Eurotiomycetes; Eurotiales; Aspergillaceae
Description: sequence contains ITS1, 5.8S rRNA gene, ITS2
Rfam family: 5.8S ribosomal RNA (bases 203-356)
Source: RNAcentral
AAGUCGUAACAAGGUUUCCGUAGGUGAACCUGCGGAAGGAUCAUUACCGAGUGCGGGCUGCCUCCGGGCGCCCAACCUCCCACCCGUGACUACCUAACACUGUUGCUUCGGCGGGGAGCCCUCUCGGGGGCGAGCCGCCGGGGACUACUGAACUUCAUGCCUGAGAGUGAUGCAGUCUGAGUCUGAAUAUAAAAUCAGUCAAAACUUUCAACAAUGGAUCUCUUGGUUCCGGCAUCGAUGAAGAACGCAGCGAACUGCGAUAAGUAAUGUGAAUUGCAGAAUUCAGUGAAUCAUCGAGUCUUUGAACGCACAUUGCGCCCCCUGGCAUUCCGGGGGGCAUGCCUGUCCGAGCGUCAUUGCUGCCCAUCAAGCCCGGCUUGUGUGUUGGGUCGUCGUCCCCCCCGGGGGACGGGCCCGAAAGGCAGCGGCGGCACCGUGUCCGGUCCUCGAGCGCAUGGGGCUUUGUCACCCGCUCGAUUAGGGCCGGCCGGGCGCCAGCCGACGUCUCCAACCAUUUUUUUCAGGUUGACCUCGGAUCAGGUAGGGAUACCCGCUGAACUUAAGCAUAUCAAUAAGCGGAGGAAAAGAAACCAACCGGGAUUGCCCCAGUAACGGCGAGUGAAGCGGCAAGAGCUCAAAUUUGAAAUCUGGCCCCUCCGGGGUCCGAGUUGUAAUUUGCA